This 276-nucleotide unclassified non-coding RNA is filed under the name plant metagenome. RNAcentral's name for it is "partial contains small subunit ribosomal RNA, internal transcribed spacer 1, and 5.8S ribosomal RNA". The stretch from base 228 to 276 matches the Rfam family "5.8S ribosomal RNA", at positions 1 to 49 of the family's 154-position model. The record is from RNAcentral.
UCUCCGUAGGUGAACCUGCGGAAGGAUCAUUAUCGAAAUACUUAUUUAGCGUUCCGUGCUAUCCCAUUGUUUUAUUUACCCUGUUGCUUCCACUGGAUGAGUUUCCAUACCUUGUGUUUGAGAAACUUUGGCUUGUGUAAGAUUCAUUCACGGCCAGCCAGUGAGAAGACCAUUUACAAAACCCUGUUAAGAACCAAUUGUCUGAAUAUUUUACUCCAAUGAAAUAAAACUUUCAACAACGGAUCUCUAGGCUCUUGCAUCGAUGAAAAACGCAGC